GUUAGGUUAGAACAGGACAGGGGUGAAGGGUUAGGUUAGAACAGGACAGGGGUUAAGGGUUAGGUUAGAACAGAACUGAGGUGAAGGGUUAGAACAGGACUGGGUUGAAGGGUUAGAUUAGAACAGGACUGGGGUGCAGGGUUAGGUUAGAACAGGACUGGGGUGAAGGGUUAGGUUAGAACAGGACAGGGGAGAAGGGUUAGAACAGGACUGGGGUGAAAGGGGUUAGGUUAGAACAGGACAGGGGUGAAGGGUUAGAACAGGACUGGGGUUAAGGGUUAGGUUAGAACAGGACUGGGGUGAAGGGUUAGGUUAGAACAGGACUGGGGUGAAGGGUUAGGUUAGAACAGGACAGGGGUGAAGGGUUAGAUUAGAACAGGACAGGUGUGAAGGGUUAGAACAGGACUGGGGUGAAGGGUUAGAUUAGAACAGGACUGGGGUGAGGGGUUAGG
RNAcentral lists this long non-coding RNA (452 nucleotides) under Salmo salar (Atlantic salmon). RNAcentral describes it as "lncRNA (ENSSSAG00000111452.1)". The record is from RNAcentral. Lineage: Eukaryota; Metazoa; Chordata; Actinopteri; Salmoniformes; Salmonidae.